Molecule: long non-coding RNA, 338 nt
Filed under: Capsicum annuum
Lineage: Eukaryota; Viridiplantae; Streptophyta; Magnoliopsida; Solanales; Solanaceae
Description: long non-coding RNA (CANN_LNC008631)
Source: RNAcentral
CUCCUUUGACAAAACUCUCCAGAAAAGGUGAAUUCUCUAAAGAAGUAUCCAUCAUAGAGUUGAGAGCAAGAUUGUAAAACUUGCGACCUGAAUAUAAGUGGCAAACAAACAAAAUUAAGCAUUUGGUUAGCAUCAUUAUAGGAAAUCAAAGUAUACAAAGGAAAAAAGAGAUUGAAUACCUGUAACACCUUUUGUUGCAUAUUUCUGUAGGAAAAAGAUAAUGAGCAGCAGGGUCACUAAAAUUAAACAUAUAAUGACUAUAUUUUCAUUAAACAAAAAUUCAAUCAAGUUUCUUAAGGGCAAUAAAGCACGGAGAUUUUGUUCAUGUACGGAUAAAC